Molecule: ribosomal RNA, 439 nt
Filed under: Escherichia coli
Lineage: Bacteria; Pseudomonadati; Pseudomonadota; Gammaproteobacteria; Enterobacterales; Enterobacteriaceae
Description: partial 23S ribosomal RNA
Rfam family: Bacterial large subunit ribosomal RNA
Source: RNAcentral
CUUGACUGCGAGCGUGACGGCGCGAGCAGGUGCGAAAGCAGGUCAUAGUGAUCCGGUGGUUCUGAAUGGAAGGGCCAUCGCUCAACGGAUAAAAGGUACUCCGGGGAUAACAGGCUGAUACCGCCCAAGAGUUCAUAUCGACGGCGGUGUUUGGCACCUCGAUGUCGGCUCAUCACAUCCUGGGGCUGAAGUAGGUCCCAAGGGUAUGGCUGUUCGCCAUUUAAAGUGGUACGCGAGCUGGGUUUAGAACGUCGUGAGACAGUUCGGUCCCUAUCUGCCGUGGGCGCUGGAGAACUGAGGGGGGCUGCUCCUAGUACGAGAGGACCGGAGUGGACGCAUCACUGGUGUUCGGGUUGUCAUGCCAAUGGCACUGCCCGGUAGCUAAAUGCGGAAGAGAUAAGUGCUGAAAGCAUCUAAGCACGAAACUUGCCCCGAGAUG